Dendryphion nanum is the source of this 109-nucleotide non-coding RNA. The record is from the annotation of a GenBank genome assembly. Lineage: Eukaryota; Fungi; Ascomycota; Dothideomycetes; Pleosporales; Torulaceae.
GUCUCGUUGGUGUAGUUGGUUAUCACGUGGGUCUCAUAUCUUGCAUAUAUGAUCUGAUAGGACUAUCAGAGUAAUCCCAAGGCCGCCAGUUCGAGUCUGGCACGGGACA